RNAcentral lists this ribosomal RNA (460 nucleotides) under uncultured bacterium. RNAcentral's name for it is "partial 16S ribosomal RNA". It matches the Rfam family "Bacterial small subunit ribosomal RNA", at positions 338 to 795 of the family's 1533-position model. The record is from RNAcentral.
CCUACGGGGGGCAGCAGUGAGGAAUAUUGGUCAAUGGACGAGAGUCUGAACCAGCCAAGUAGCGUGAAGGAUGACUGCCCUAUGGGUUGUAAACUUCUUUUAUAUGGGAAUAAAACGUUCCACGUGUGGGAUUUUGUAUGUACCAUAUGAAUAAGGAUCGGCUAACUCCGUGCCAGCAGCCGCGGUAAUACGGAGGAUCCGAGCGUUAUCCGGAUUUAUUGGGUUUAAAGGGAGCGUAGGCGGAUUGUUAAGUCAGUUGUGAAAGUUUGGGGCUCAACCGUAAAAUUGCAGUUGAAACUGGCAGUCUUGAGUACAGUAGAGGUGGGCGGAAUUCGUGGUGUAGCGGUGAAAUGCUUAGAUAUCACGAAGAACUCCGAUUGCGAAGGCAGUUCACUGGACUGCAACUGACACUGAGGCUCGAAAGUGUGGGUAUCAAACAGGAUUAGAUACCCCAGUAGUC